This 505-nucleotide ribosomal RNA is filed under the name uncultured bacterium. Its description in RNAcentral is "partial 16S ribosomal RNA". It matches the Rfam family "Bacterial small subunit ribosomal RNA", at positions 28 to 507 of the family's 1533-position model. The record is from RNAcentral.
GACGAACGCUGGCGGCGUGCCUAAUACAUGCAAGUAGAACGCACAGUUUAUACCGUAGCUUGCUACACCAUAGACUGUGAGUUGCGAACGGGUGAGUAACGCGUAGGUAACCUGCCUGGUAGCGGGGGAUAACUAUUGGAAACGAUAGCUAAUACCGCAUAAUAUUGAUUAUUGCAUGAUAAUUGUUUGAAAGAUGCUAUUGCAUCACUACCAGAUGGACCUGCGUUGUAUUAGCUAGUAGGUGAGGUAACGGUUCACCUAGGCGACGAUACAUAGCCGACCUGAGAGGGUGAUCGGCCACACUGGGACUGAGACACGGCCCAGACUCCUACGGGAGGCAGCAGUAGGGAAUCUUCGGCAAUGGACGAAAGUCUGACCGAGCAACGCCGCGUGAGUGAAGAAGGUUUUCGGAUCGUAAAGCUCUGUUGUAAGAGAAGAACGGGUGUGAGAGUGGAAAGUUCACACUGUGACGGUAUCUUACCAGAAAGGGACGGCUAACUACGUG